AUUGAACGCUGGCGGCAGGCCUAACACAUGCAAGUCGAACGGCAGCACAGAAGAGCUUGCUCUUUGGGUGGCGAGUGGCGGACGGGUGAGUAAUGUCUGGGAAACCGCCCGAUGGAGGGGGAUAACUACUGGAAACGGUAGCUAAUACCGCAUAACGUCGCAAGACCAACGUGGGGGACCUUCGGGCCUCACACCAUCGGAGGUGCCCAGAUGGGAUUAGCUAGUAGGUGGGGUAAUGGCUCACCUAGGCGACGAUCCCUAGCUGGUCUGAGAGGAUGACCAGCCACACUGGAACUGAGACACGGUCCAGACUCCUACGGGAGGCAGCAGUGGGGAAUAUUGCACAAUGGGCGCAAGCCUGAUGCAGCCAUGCCGCGUGUAUGAAGAAGGCCUUCGGGUUGUAAAGUACUUUCAGCGGGGAGGAAGGCGGUGAGGUUAAUAACCUCGCCGAUUGACGUUACCCGCAGAAGAAGCACCGGCUAACUCCGUGCCAGCCGCCGCCGUAA
Molecule: ribosomal RNA, 506 nt
Filed under: uncultured bacterium
Lineage: Bacteria
Description: partial 16S ribosomal RNA
Rfam family: Bacterial small subunit ribosomal RNA
Source: RNAcentral